AUAGGUCAAAUUUAUUAGCCGGGAUAAUGGGCGGCGGAUAUUAGCGCCCGAACCGCAGCCUCUCAAACCCGAAAUCUAACGAAGCUGCAAUUAGCAGACGCUCCCCGCUCCAGGCCCGGCCGCUUCCCAGCGCCGCACCCGGCGGCAGGCGCGCUGCGGGGGAAACGGCUUUUUGCCGCGGGGGGGUUUCGUUGUCUUCUAAUUUUUUUUUUUCUUUUUUCAUUUGAGCAAGCCCCAAACAAAAUGACUCUUCAGUCAAUGGAAUUGCAACCCAAGAACGGUCCUAUGAAAGCUGCGGAAGCCUAUCGGCCGCUCGCCCUCCGCGGGAGCAACGAAAGCGUCGCCUCUUGGGGUGCGAGCUCGGCGCUGUCCACCCGUGGAGCAAGCAGAGCACCGGAGCGUCCUCCACGCGACCGAGGACACCGACCCGCGUGGGGAGAAUUUGCCCCCGCCCCGGCUUCCAAUGAGGCGUCGCGGCCACUUUGGAGACGCUCCCUGGCCCCAGCCGGGAGGACUGAGCGUUGACUCUCAGAGCCUGGAUUUAAAUCACAAUAACACCGAGGGAAGAUGAAUGGCAGUGCUAUUGAAUGUGGCUAAAAUUGGAUACUUCAGCACAGGAUGAGCCCCAGGAGAGGCCUGGAUACUGACCACUGGUUCCGACAGUCUUCAAAGAUAAUGGUGUUCAUGAGGACAGACAUCAUCUAGAAGACAGAGUCACACGGUAAUCGGGACCCUUGGCUUAGAG
Molecule: long non-coding RNA, 745 nt
Organism: Meriones unguiculatus (Mongolian gerbil)
Lineage: Eukaryota; Metazoa; Chordata; Mammalia; Rodentia; Muridae
Exons: 3
Source: RefSeq, a predicted model, not a curated record